Molecule: ribosomal RNA, 669 nt
Filed under: uncultured Enterobacterales bacterium
Lineage: Bacteria; Pseudomonadati; Pseudomonadota; Gammaproteobacteria; Enterobacterales
Description: bacterial SSU rRNA
Rfam family: Bacterial small subunit ribosomal RNA
Source: RNAcentral
GAACGGUAACAGGAAGCAGCUUGCUGCUUCGCUGACGAGUGGCGGACGGGUGAGUAAUGUCUGGGAAACUGCCUGAUGGAGGGGGAUAACUACUGGAAACGGUAGCUAAUACCGCAUAACGUCGCAAGACCAAAGAGGGGGACCUUCGGGCCUCUUGCCAUCGGAUGUGCCCAGAUGGGAUUAGCUAGUAUGUGGGGUAACGGCUCACCUAGGCGACGAUCCCUAGCUGGUCUGAGAGGAUGACCAGCCACACUGGAACUGAGACACGGUCCAGACUCCUACGGGAGGCAGCAGUGGGGAAUAUUGCACAAUGGGCGCAAGCCUGAUGCAGCCAUGCCGCGUGUAUGAAGAAGGCCUUCGGGUUGUAAAGUACUUUCAGCGGGGAGGAAGGCGACAGGGUUAAUAAGCCUGUCGAUUGACGUUACCCGCAGAAGAAGCACCGGCUAACUCCGUGCCAGCAGCCGCGGUAAUACGGAGGGUGCAAGCGUUAAUCGGAAUUACUGGGCGUAAAGCGCCCGCAGGCGGUCUGUCAAGUCGGAUGUGAAAUCCCCGGGCUCAACCUGGGAACUGCAUUCGGAACUGGCAGGCUAGAGUCUUGUAGAGGGGGGUAGAAUUCCAGGUGUAGCGGUGAAAUGCGUAGAGAUCUGGAGGAAUACCGGUGGCGAAGGC